Molecule: ribosomal RNA, 429 nt
Filed under: Bacteroidota bacterium
Lineage: Bacteria; Pseudomonadati; Bacteroidota
Description: Bacteroidetes bacterium partial 16S ribosomal RNA
Rfam family: Bacterial small subunit ribosomal RNA
Source: RNAcentral
UAGGGAAUCUUCGGCAAUGGGGGGAACCCUGACCGAGCAACGCCGCGUGAGUGAAGAAGGUUUUCGGAUCGUAAAGCUCUGUUGUUAAGGAAGAACGAGUGUGAGAAUGGAAAGUUCAUACUGUGACGGUACUUAACCAGAAAGGGACGGCUAACUACGUGCCAGCAGCCGCGGUAAUACGUAGGUCCCGAGCGUUGUCCGGAUUGAUUGGGCGUAAAGCGAGCGCAGGCGGUUAGAUAAGUCUGAAGUUAAAGGCAGUGGCUCAACCAUUGUAGGCUUUGGAAACUGUUUAACUUGAGUGCAGAAGGGGAGAGUGGAAUUCCAUGUGUAGCGGUGAAAUGCGUAGAUAUAUGGGGGAACACCGGUGGCGAAAGCGGCUCUCUGGUCUGUAACUGACGCUGAGGCUCGAAAGCGUGGGGAGCGAACAGG